Molecule: long non-coding RNA, 1329 nt
Organism: Paramisgurnus dabryanus
Lineage: Eukaryota; Metazoa; Chordata; Actinopteri; Cypriniformes; Cobitidae
Source: RefSeq, a predicted model, not a curated record
UUGACAAAAUAAUAUGUGAGAUGGAUGCUAUUUUAUCAUGUAAGCAAAGUUAACAGCGAUUACAAGGUAUUUCUUUUCAUUUCUUUAAAGUGUUUUAUGCAUCGUCUGUACGUAGUCAUAAUUUAGCUCAUAAAUAGACCGACUACGAAUAAACCACGUUUAGCCCAGAAAUAACCAUGAAUUUAAUUACAUGUUGUUUUGCCAAAAUUAUUUGUGAGAUGUAUGAUAUUUAAUAAUGUAAACAAAGUUCAAAGCAAUUAAGGUAUUUUGUUUCAUUUCUUUAAAGUGUUUUAUGCACCGUCUGUACUUAGCCACUAUUUAGCUUACAAAUAGACCGACUACGAAUAACCCACGUUUAGCCCAGAAAUAACCAUUAAUUUAAUUACAUGUUGUUUUGCCAAAAUGAUUUGUGAGAUGUAUGAUAUUUAAUCAUGUAAACAAAGUUCAAAGCAAUUAAGGUAUUUUGUUUCAUUUCUUUAAAGUGUUUUAUACACCGUCUGUACUAGCCACUAUUUAGCUUACAAAUAGACCGACUACGAAUAACCCACGUUUAGCCCAGAAAUAACCAUUAAUUUAAUUACAUGUGGUUUUUGCCAAAAUAACUUGUGAGAUGUAUGGUAUGUCAUUGUAAGCAAAGUUAACAGCGAUUACAAGGUUUGUUUAAUUUCUUUAAAGUGUUUUAUGCACCGUCGUACAUAGCCACUAUUUAGCUCAUAAAUAGACCGACUACGAACAAACCAUGUUUAGCCCAAAAUAACCUUGAAUUUAAUAAAAUUUUGUUUUUGCCAAAAUAACUUGCAAGAAUUAUGAUAUUUUAUCAGGCAUGCAAAGACACCAGGGAAAUUAAGAUGUUUGGUUUAAUUUAUCUUAUCUGAAUAUCUGCUGUCACGCAUAACAUUCAUUAUUUGACCGUAUUUCAAAGAUAAACAAAAUCCAGUUACAACUCCGAACCGCUAGAUGGCAGCAGUACACAAACACGAGGCCAUAUCUCGCGAGAAAGAUUUCCGCUGUUUGAAAAGCAACAACAUCAGCGAGCAGCCACGAGGAAAGUAUGUACCACACUCGUUUGGUCUUGUGUCAAAGCUGUGCGAAACUGGAGGGAGAAACUUGAGAGACCGUGCCGGAAGAAUGCUGGACAGAGUUCACUAAAAUUCAUUAAUUUCAAAGUUCAACAUGAAUGGUGGUGGUCCACUGCAGAAGCAAGCAUUUGAAAAAACAUCACUUCUCAGUUAUUAAAGAUGCUGUGUUGAACAACUUCCCAGCAGCAACAGAACUGGAAGUGAAGGAUGCAAUGGGGGCAUUUCAAACAGGCACCAGGGAGCACGGGAA